This 471-nucleotide ribosomal RNA is filed under the name uncultured bacterium. RNAcentral's name for it is "partial 16S ribosomal RNA". It matches the Rfam family "Bacterial small subunit ribosomal RNA", at positions 29 to 506 of the family's 1533-position model. The record is from RNAcentral.
ACGAACGUUGGCGGCGUGGAUUAGGCAUGCAAGUCGAACGAGAACCGCUGGGUAACUGGCGGGGAAAGUGGCGAAAGGGGCAGUAAGGCGUGGGUAACCUACCCUGCGGACCGGGAUAGCCUUCCUAACGGUUGGGUAAUACCGGGCGUGGUCGCGGGAUCGCAUGGUCCGGCGAUAAAACGAGUUUCGCCGCGGGAGGGGCUCACGUGGUAUUAGCUGGUUGGUAGGGUAACGGCCUACCAAGGCCAAGAUGCCUAGCAGGUGUGAGAGCACGACCUGCGCCACUGGCACUGAGACACUGGCCAGACUCCUACGGGAGGCUGCAGUCGAGGAUCUUCGGCAAUGGGCGCAAGCCUGACCGAGCGACGCCGCGUGUGCGAUGAAGGCCUUCGGGUUGUAAAGCACUGUCGAGGGGGAGGAAAGCCCGCAAGGGUCUGACCUAUCCCUGGAGGAAGCACGGGCUAAGUUCGU